Molecule: small RNA, 550 nt
Filed under: Arabidopsis thaliana (thale cress)
Lineage: Eukaryota; Viridiplantae; Streptophyta; Magnoliopsida; Brassicales; Brassicaceae
Description: ATSL029360
Source: RNAcentral
GGUAUAUUCGAAUGAGGAUGAACUUUAUUUGACUAAAAUUAGAUUUCUAAGUGUUAAUUAUUGUUGUAGUACAAAAGUCUAAAUGAUCUAUAACUAUUUAUAUGACUUAAACUUACAUAAAUAAAUAAAAGUAAAGUGGAUUCACCACUUUGGUAAUGAAGUCAUGGAGCACCCUUUCCGUGACCUUUGUUCCAGACAAAAUAGGAAGACCACACAGAGUUGAUGGCUUGAGAUACUUAUUGCAUGCAGCCUUCAGCAUUGCAUACCAGAAUAGCAUUUUCUGCGCCGAAGAGAGUUUGAACAUGGCCUAUGAAAUAAAAGAAUCACAGUUAUAUAAAGAUGUUGUUAAAUUAUUAGGAAAUAAAGAAAAAUCAGAUUUGUAACCUAACAUGUCAAACAAUGGGGGCAAACACAAUGCUGAUAGUCGAGAACACUACACUCCCAGAAAAAACUACUGACUAAACAAAGUUGAUUCUAGCAAAAAAAAAAAAAACCUUCAGUAAAGACAUAAAUAUGAUUGUUAGUUCAAUCAGUUUGAUAUAUAAUUACA